GUAUUGAUUGCGUGUCAUCGCAAAAUAAAAAGACAUUCUACACUGUAUCGAGUUUGUGUGAAAACGUGAGCCCCCGAAAGGGGACCCACGCGGUGGUGCACAUAGGGGUGAGAUGGAUGUUUGAGAACGCUCGGGCGUGCACGACGAAAAAGUCAGCGACAGCCCUCGCGCCUCGGUUUUACGAUAAUGAUCCUUCCGCAGGUUCACCUACGGAAA
RNAcentral lists this unclassified non-coding RNA (216 nucleotides) under uncultured fungus. RNAcentral describes it as "sequence contains ITS1". The record is from RNAcentral. Lineage: Eukaryota; Fungi.